Molecule: unclassified non-coding RNA, 245 nt
Filed under: Glomeraceae sp.
Lineage: Eukaryota; Fungi; Glomeromycota; Glomeromycetes; Glomerales; Glomeraceae
Description: partial contains 5.8S ribosomal RNA and internal transcribed spacer 2
Rfam family: 5.8S ribosomal RNA (bases 1-71)
Source: RNAcentral
GUGAAUCAUCAAAUUUUUGAACGCAAAUUGCACUUCCUGGCAUUCCGGGGAGUAUGCCUGUUUGAGGGUCGUUAGAACAAAAAUCGAAGCGUCGUUCUAUUUUUUACGGGUGCUCGCGUUGGAAUUGAGCAGCCUUUCGAAUGUUAAUUCAUGUCAAAGUGGCUUGAAAUUCAUCCAUACGGUACGAUUAAAGUGUUUUUAUGAUCAACUCUGAUUAAGAAAGCGUGAUGAAAGUCCCAUCCCAC